GACGAACGCUGGCGGCGUGCUUAACACAUGCAAGUCGAACGGAAAGGCCCUGCUUUUGUGGGGUGCUCGAGUGGCGAACGGGUGAGUAACACGUGAGUAACCUGCCCUUGACUUUGGGAUAACUUCAGGAAACUGCGGCUAAUACCGGAUAGGAGCUCCUGCUGCAUGGUGGGGGUUGGAAAGUUUCGGCGGUUGGGGAUGGACUCGCGGCUUAUCAGCUUGUUGGUGGGGUAGUGGCUUACCAAGGCUUUGACGGGUAGCCGGCCUGAGAGGGUGACCGGCCACAAGAGGACUAAGGUACGCCCCAGACUGCAACGGGAAGCAGUAGUGGAGAGUAUUGCACAGUGGGCGGAAGCGUGAGGUAGAAGCGCCGGGAGCGGGAUGACGGCCUACUGGGGGUGAACCGCUUUCUCCGUAGACGUAGCGUGAUUGACGGUAACGGGUAAGGAAGCAACGGCUAACUACGUG
Molecule: ribosomal RNA, 468 nt
Filed under: uncultured bacterium
Lineage: Bacteria
Description: partial 16S ribosomal RNA
Rfam family: Bacterial small subunit ribosomal RNA
Source: RNAcentral